This 497-nucleotide ribosomal RNA is filed under the name uncultured bacterium. RNAcentral describes it as "partial 16S ribosomal RNA". It matches the Rfam family "Bacterial small subunit ribosomal RNA", at positions 28 to 507 of the family's 1533-position model. The record is from RNAcentral.
GAUGAACGCUGGCGGCGUGCCUAAUACAUGCAAGUCGAGCGAACGGACGAGAAGCUUGCUUCUCUGAUGUUAGCGGCGGACGGGUGAGUAACACGUGGAUAACCUACCUAUAAGACUGGGAUAACUUCGGGAAACCGGAGCUAAUACCGGAUAAUAUUUUGAACCGCAUGGUUCAAAAGUGAAAGACGGCCUUGCUGUCACUUAUAGAUGGACCCGCGCUGCAUUAGCUAGUUGGUAAGGUAACGGCUUACCAAGGCAACGAUGCAUAGCCGACCUGAGAGGGUGAUGGGCCACACUGGGACUGACACACGGUCCAGACUCCUACGGGAGGCAGCAGUAGGGAAUCUUCCACAAUGGGCGAAAGCCUGACGGAGCAACGCCGCGUGAGUGAUGAAGGUCUUCGGGUCGUAAAACUCUGUUAUUAGGGAAGAACAUAUGUGUAAGUAACUGUGCACAUCUUGACGGUACCUAAUCAGAAAGCCACGGCUAACUACGUG